AGAUUAAGCCAUGCAUGUCUAAGUAUAAGCAAUUAUACAGCGAAACUGCGAAUGGCUCAUUAAAUCAGUUAUCGUUUAUUUGAUAGUACCUUACUACAUGGAUAACCGUGGUAAUUCUAGAGCUAAUACAUGCUGAAAACCCCGACUCCGGAAGGGGUGUAUUUAUUAGAUUAAAAACCAAUGCCCUCCGGGGCUUACUGGUGAUUCAUGAUAACUUCUCGAAUCGCACGGCCUUGCGCCGGCGAUGGUUCAUUCAAAUUUCUGCCCUAUCAACUUUCGACGGCUGGGUCUUGGCCAGCCGUGGUGACAACGGGUAACGGAGGGUUAGGGCUCGACCCCGGAGAAAACGCCUGAGAAACGGCGUUUACAUCCAAGGAAGGCAGCAGGCGCGCAAAUUACCCAAUGCCGACACGGCGAGGUAGUGACGAGAAAUACUGAUACAGGGCUCUUUUGGGUCUUGUAAUUGGAAUGAGUACAAUUUAAAUCCCUUAACGAGGAACAAUUGGAGGGCAAGUCUGGUGCCAGCAGCCGCGGUAAUUCCAGCUCCAAUAGCGUAUAUUAAAGUUGUUGCAGUUAAAAAGCUCGUAGUUGAACCUUGGGCCUGGCUGGCCGGUCCGCCUCACCGCGUGCACUGGUCCGGCCGGGCCUUUCCCUCUGGGGAACCCCAUGCCCUUCACUGGGCGUGGCGGGGAACCAGGACUUUUACUUUGAAAAAAUUAGAGUGUUCAAAGCAGCCUAUGCUCGAAUACAUUAGCAUGGAAUAAUAGAAUAGGACGUGCGGUUCUAUUUUGUUGGUUUCUAGGACCGCCGUAAUGAUUAAUAGGGACAGUCGGGGGCGUCAGUAUUCAAUUGUCAGAGGUGAAAUUCUUGGAUUUAUUGAGACUAACUACUGCGAAAGCAUUCGC
RNAcentral lists this ribosomal RNA (905 nucleotides) under Pseudophialophora dichanthii. RNAcentral describes it as "SSU rRNA". It matches the Rfam family "Eukaryotic small subunit ribosomal RNA", at positions 41 to 958 of the family's 1831-position model. Lineage: Eukaryota; Fungi; Ascomycota; Sordariomycetes; Magnaporthales; Magnaporthaceae. The record is from RNAcentral.